GGCAGGAGUUACAACGUCCUUGGGCUGAAGUGAGUAAGCACCCUAACACAACUUUUAACUGGCUUUCUGCUAGCACUAGGCUAAUGCAGAUCACCUGUUAGAACGACUCACACGCACACCCUCAACAAGUGGCCGAGAGCGGCGACGCGGUUCCCUGUCACUUGUCCUAGGGCGGCAGGUGAAGGCGGUGAACGCCCAUCCACACCCAUCGGCCGGCCACGGCAGAGGCGGCAAACAGCCCCGGGACGCUCCGUUAUCCUCACCCUCCCGGACCCGCCAGAAUUCAGAAAUGACAUGGGCUUUGGCUGCAGACACCUGGAUGUGGGAUGGAUGAGCAGUUCUUUCCUAAUGCAUGGAGCAGUUCUUCGAGGGGCCUGUCACCAAGGCUGGCUUCAUGGGGCCACCAGAAAGGACAGUUAAUACAAAAGAUCCCAGUUUGACAGAAAUCCAGAGACGGUCAGAAGCCAGCAAACUGAGCACCCAGAAGGUGGCCCUCUCCCUUGGAGCAACCUCAACUUAACAGGUCUUGGGUCCCCAGCUUCCUGAGGGCAGGACCAUUCUGCAGUUGGCCUCCCAUUUUCCAAAGUCACAAGAAGCACUUUUAAUUGGAUGGUGCACCAGUGUUCUCAGCAUUCGGCCUCACACCAAUGAUGUCCUUUCACCUCCCAGCCAGAAGAUGAUAUGGAAACUGUUACUUUCCCCAUUUACAGAUGAGAAAACUGAGGCUUACAAGGGUGAAGUGGUAGUCUGUGCUUGCAUUGGUAGUGCAUGACAAAGACAGGGUUCAAGGUCAUGGUUUGGAACAGAGAGAAUGUCCAAGAUGACUGUCCAGGGGAAAAUGAGAAAGGAUUUUAGAAACUGGAACUUCCUGGAUAAUUUGGGACACAAGGUUGCUGAACUCGAAAUUUGGUAGGAAAAAAAGAGCAGUGGCUUUGGAGUAAAAAUUUGUACUAUCAGUUGUGAUUUGGGCCAAGGAACUUUACCAUUUUGAGCCUCAGUUUCCAUCUCUCCAAAAUGGAUCUGAUAAUCCUUGCAUAGCAUUGCUGGGAACUGACAGAUUUGACCCAGCCAUUUUUUCUAAACCUGAAAAACCCCCAAGCUCCUUCAUGCCUUGGGGCACAUGUCUUGCAAGUGAUUUUCCUGUACCUGGAACCCUCCGCCUUCAGAUGUUCACAGGAAGGCUUGUUUUGUGUCCUCUAAGUCUGAACUCAAACAUGGCUUUCCUCAGGGCAACCUUCUCUACCACCUAGGAGACCUAGCUUCUCUGGGGGCAUCACUAUUUGAUUUUUCUCCUUUGUAUUUAUCAUGAUCUGAAAUUAUCUUAA
Non-coding RNA from Ictidomys tridecemlineatus (thirteen-lined ground squirrel), 1325 nucleotides. NCBI's taxonomy places the organism in Eukaryota, Metazoa, Chordata, Mammalia, Rodentia, Sciuridae. The record is from RefSeq and is a predicted model, not a curated record.